AUUCCAGCUCCAAUAGCGUAUAUUAAUGUUGUUGCAGUUAAAAAGUUCGUAGUUGGAUUUCUGGUCGGGACGUCUGGCCGGCUCCGCAAGGGUUCGUUGCAUUGACUGUACUCGUCCAUCCUCAGGUUGACUAGCUCUGGUAUUUAUUUAUCGGUGUUAGAACGCCUGUCGUUUACUGUGAACAAAUUAGAGUGUUCAAAGCAAGGUGUACUUGAAUACAUUAGCAUGGAAUAAUAAGAUAGGACUUUGGUGGUUCUUUUUGAUAUUUUGUUGGUUUGCACGCCAAAGUAAUGAUUAAUAGGAGCAGUUGGGGGUAUUCGUAUUCAAUUGUCAGAGGUGAAAUUCUUGGAUUUAUAGAAGACGAACUACUGCGAAAGCAUUUACCAAGGAUGUUUUCAUUG
This 401-nucleotide ribosomal RNA is filed under the name Pedinellales sp. RNAcentral's name for it is "partial small subunit ribosomal RNA". It matches the Rfam family "Eukaryotic small subunit ribosomal RNA", at positions 582 to 975 of the family's 1831-position model. Lineage: Eukaryota; Dictyochophyceae; Pedinellales. The record is from RNAcentral.